AACCACUGUGCUAUCGCUCCAGCCUGUGCCGGAUCUUGUCUGAUCUAGGAAGCUAAGCAGGGUUGGACCUGGUUAGUACUUGGAUGGGAGACAUCCUGGAAAUACCGGGUGCUGUGGGCC
Molecule: ribosomal RNA, 120 nt
Filed under: Sorex araneus (European shrew)
Lineage: Eukaryota; Metazoa; Chordata; Mammalia; Eulipotyphla; Soricidae
Source: RNAcentral